AUGAACGCUGACAGAAUGCUUAACACAUGCAAGUCUACUUGAAUUUGGGUUUUUUAACUUAGAUUUGGGUGGCGGACGGGUGAGUAACGCGUAAAGAACUUGCCUCACAGCUAGGGACAACAUUUGGAAACGAAUGCUAAUACCUGAUAUUAUGAUUAUAAGGCAUCUUAGAAUUAUGAAAGCUAUAUGCGCUGUGAGAGAGCUUUGCGUCCCAUUAGCUAGUUGGAGAGGUAACGGCUCACCAAGGCGAUGAUGGGUAGCCGGCCUGAGAGGGUGAACGGCCACAAGGGGACUGAGACACGGCCCUUACUCCUACGGGAGGCAGCAGUGGGGAAUAUUGGACAAGGGACCAAGAGUCUGAUCCAGCAAUUCUGUGUGCACGAUGACGUUUUUCGGAAUGUAAAGUGCUUUCAGUUGGGAAGAAAAAAAUGACGGUACCAACAGAAGAAGUGACGGCUAAAUACGUG
RNAcentral lists this ribosomal RNA (467 nucleotides) under uncultured bacterium. RNAcentral's name for it is "partial 16S ribosomal RNA". It matches the Rfam family "Bacterial small subunit ribosomal RNA", at positions 29 to 507 of the family's 1533-position model. The record is from RNAcentral.